GCUCCAGCCCAGGAUAUCCACGUGCUCCAUUCGGGGUUCCGGACAGAACACUCACCAUGGACUUUGGGCUGAGCUGGGUUGUCCUUGUGGCUAUUUUACAAGGUGUCCAGUGUGAGGUGCAGCUGGUGGAGUCUGGGGGAGGCUUGGUGCAGCCUGGGGGGUCUCUGAGACUUUCCUGUGCAGCCUCUGGAUUCACCUUCAGUAGCUAUGCCAUGAGCUGGGUCCGCCAGGCUCCAGGGAAGGGGCUGGAGUGGAUCUCAGGUAUUAGUAGUGGUGGUAGCACAUACUAUGCAGACUCUGUGAAGGGCCGAUUCACCAUCUCCAGAGACAACUCCAAGAACACGCUGUAUCUGCAAAUGAACAGCCUGAGAUCUGAGGACACGGCCGUGUAUUACUGUGCGAAAGAUACACAGUGAGGGGAAGUCAGUGUGAGCCCAGACAC
This is a non-coding RNA of Orcinus orca (killer whale), 442 nucleotides long. Lineage: Eukaryota; Metazoa; Chordata; Mammalia; Artiodactyla; Delphinidae. The record is from the annotation of a RefSeq genome assembly.